Molecule: ribosomal RNA, 253 nt
Filed under: uncultured bacterium
Lineage: Bacteria
Description: partial 16S ribosomal RNA
Rfam family: Bacterial small subunit ribosomal RNA
Source: RNAcentral
UACGUAGGGGGCAAGCGUUGUCCGGAAUCAUUGGGCGUAAAGAGCGCGUAGGCGGUCCGUUAAGUCCGCUCUGAAAGCCCGGGGCUCAACCCCGGGAGGCGGGCGGAUACUGUCGGGCUAGAGUCCGGAAGAGGCGAGUGGAAUUCCUGGUGUAGCGGUGAAAUGCGCAGAUAUCAGGAGGAACACCAAUGGCGAAGGCAGCUCGCUGGGACGGUACUGACGCUGAGGCGCGAAAGCUAGGGGAGCGAACAGG